GGAAUUUACAUCUGACAUUUGGAAUCACUUUACGAAAAUGGAAAGGUUUGAUAUUGGUCAAAAAAGGUAUGAUAUAAUUUGUAAAUAUUGUGGAAAAAUAUAUAAAUAUACAGGUGGACAAGGAUAUGGAACAUUUAAACGACAUCUUAGGAGCAAACAUCCAACCGAAACGGGAAUCGAUAUCGGGCAACAACAAAUUUCCGGUUGCGGUCGAACAAGCAUUCAGUGCCGGAGGUAAUAUUUUGGACGAACAUCGUUCAAGAUUAGCUCCAGAAUCAGUGGAGAUUCAAGCUUGUGUUGCUGAUUGAACGAAGGCUCAAUACCGGCAACAAGAUAUAGAUCGGAAUAAUGAAUCCGAAUUCUUUAACGACGGAGAUACUACCGCUACCGGUACCGGUACCGGUACUGGAACGGGUAGUGACGAUUGAGGGUAAAAGAACUAUUGGAGUUGGCAAAUAUUUCGGGAACCCUUGUUUCUCAUACCGGGUACGCCCACGUGAGCUUAGGGAAACCGAAGUAUAAUCCGACGACAUGUGACCUCUGGUCCCCUGCGCACGGAAUGCUUAGGUUUUGAGAUCAUUUUAGGACAUAUAUAUUGUGCUCCUUUUUUUUAUAGAUCGUUGUAACGAAUUGUAAUGUGCUUAAUGAUAAUUUAUUAAGUUUAAGCCCUCUCUUUCUCUCUUGUCUUUUUGUCCCCAAAUUUGAUUACAAUUUACAUUUUAAUUACAAUUUAUAUUGAAUAA
Molecule: long non-coding RNA, 743 nt
Organism: Syzygium oleosum
Lineage: Eukaryota; Viridiplantae; Streptophyta; Magnoliopsida; Myrtales; Myrtaceae
Exons: 2
Source: RefSeq, a predicted model, not a curated record